RNAcentral lists this ribosomal RNA (253 nucleotides) under uncultured bacterium. RNAcentral's name for it is "partial 16S ribosomal RNA". It matches the Rfam family "Bacterial small subunit ribosomal RNA", at positions 524 to 776 of the family's 1533-position model. The record is from RNAcentral.
CACGUAGGGCGCAAGCGUUGUCCGGAAUUAUUGGGCGUAAAGAGCUCGUAGGCGGUCUGCUGCGUCCGCUGUGAAAACUCGGGGCUUAACCCCGAGCCUGCAGUGGAUACGGGCAGACUAGAGGUAGGUAGGGGAGAAUGGAAUUCCCGGUGUAGCGGUGAAAUGCGCAGAUAUCGGGAGGAACACCGGUGGCGAAGGCGGUUCUCUGGGCCUGUACUGACGCUGAGGAGCGAAAGCGUGGGGAGCGAACAGG